Molecule: long non-coding RNA, 1713 nt
Organism: Antechinus flavipes (yellow-footed antechinus)
Lineage: Eukaryota; Metazoa; Chordata; Mammalia; Dasyuromorphia; Dasyuridae
Exons: 2
Source: RefSeq, a predicted model, not a curated record
UCUUGUCCCUGUCUUCCCAUAAAUCUACCAAAAGGAGUCUACCUAUUGCUUUGAGGGGCCUUCUAGUUCUGUUAAUUAGUUUUUACCCAUUUGGGAGGUAAAAAGUUUUGGUACCUGAAUUAUUUAAAAAAGUAAAUGUUUAAAGUUAAUGAAAAGUUUUAUAUAUAUAUAUACUUAAGUUUGUUCUAAGACAGUUCACUGAAAGGCAUCCAAAUAGCGACAUUUGUUGGGAGAGGCCUUUUCCAGCUUCUGCUCACAGAGAAUUGUAAGAAGUCAUUAUUCUGUCACAAGGUGCCACACACAAAGUGCAAUUUUCUUUCUUCACAGGACAAAGCUUUGGAUGGAUGUGCUUCCAUGGCAAUGGGAUGAUCCACUGCAAACUCUCAAAAGGAUAUGUCCCUAUCCUGACUGGUCAAAUUCACACUUCUAGACCUUUUGGAAGGGGGGAAAAACCAAAGAAGCUGUACAGUAUCUACCCGCAAGGAGAUCCAACCCCUGCUGGAGACCUUCCUGGAAUUUUCCUGACCCUUCAUAGAUACCAGUGGAGCAUGGAGGCUGUUUAUUGGGCAUCCCUUGCAUUCGCCACACGACUAUGGCAUGAUUUUUUCCUGCCACUGUUGAUUUCUCCAAUGAUCCUCCUUGAUGACUUCUUUCACAUAAUUCCUUUUUUGUCACCCAUUUCACUUUCUCUCUUUGGGUGACCUCCAACUUCCACCCUUUUGAGACUAAUUUAACAUAGAAUGAUAUGACUUGGAGUCAUCCCUCAUCACCAGAAAGAAUACAGAUCUGCCUUAAGAAGCUGAGGGAAGGGAAGUAUCAUUCUUCAAAUUGCAAUUUCCCAAAGGUGAUCAGCCUACCUGUUCACUUCUAGGCCUGGCUCCCUAUCCCUUUUCUGUGUGACUAUACAUUAUAUCCUGGAGGCAGCAAGAGAAUUGGGGGGAGUGGACUGACCUCAGGUCUGAAGACCUGCCUUCAAAUCCUGCCUCAAACACUUAUAUAUGUGAUUCUGGGAAUUCCUUACCCUCUCUGUUUCAUAUUCCUUCUCUGUAAAAUAAGGAUAAUGAUUGAGUAUCCACUACCAAAAUUGUUGUGAGGAUCAGAUGAAAAAGGUAUAAUGUAUAUAAAGCAUUUUGCAAUCCUUGAAGAGCCAUCUAAGUGCUCUCAUUAUUAUAUAAAAUACUAGAGUUCCACAGGACUCUGGGCAUUGAACCCAGAGCUGGCAGCUCCAGUGCCCUCAGGGUAGAGAGGGAGAGACAGUCCAGAGGAGGAGAGCGCUGAACAAGUACAAGAAAUUCUCAAGAUUCUGAGCAAUGGAGCUGCCAGCCUUGCCACAAUACCCAAUUCCUUCCAAUGCCUCUUCUCUCUGGAAGUGAGAGUUCUCUUCGUCCCCCAGGAAGUAGUAGGAGCUUUUCUAGCACUAUUAACCUCUGAAGUUUCCAUCGGUACCGACCCCUUCCAGGAUACAACUGCGCCAAAUGGAACACAGCAUACCAUGAGCCAAUCAGCAAAGAAAGGUUGCAAACUUACAACACGGCAAUGGUGGUUUCAUAUCUUAUAGGAAUUCUCAACGUAAGAAAAAAAAAUUGGUAAAGAAGCCUGGAAAGGAAGAAGCUUGGUUUACUGGAUUUGGACUCAAUCAAAGAACUUUUGGUUCUCUAACUUUUGGAACUCAAAAUAAAAUAAAAUAAAAUUGAUAAUUAUAUUUCAACAGAA